Molecule: unclassified non-coding RNA, 267 nt
Filed under: Hevea brasiliensis (rubber tree)
Lineage: Eukaryota; Viridiplantae; Streptophyta; Magnoliopsida; Malpighiales; Euphorbiaceae
Source: RNAcentral
GCGGAGCCUUUUCAUAGGCUGAUGACCUCUCACUAGAAAUAAUAUCACCCUGGAUGCCUCUUGAGACAGUUACAGAAUUAUGAAGUGAAUGAUUGAUCUUUGACAUUUGAGACUUCUGAAUUGCAGAAUUCAAGAGUUGACAUUUUUCCAGCAGUUUCUCCUUCUUCACACGCCUCAAGUGGAACUUUGCUUUCUCAUGUACAAGCUGACAUAAUAACAUUAUUGCUUCAACAGCUCUUUUCUCCUGAAAAUUGGAAACUGACGCUU